Molecule: ribosomal RNA, 497 nt
Filed under: uncultured bacterium
Lineage: Bacteria
Description: partial 16S ribosomal RNA
Rfam family: Bacterial small subunit ribosomal RNA
Source: RNAcentral
GAUGAACGCUGGCGGCGUGCCUAAUACAUGCAAGUCGAGCGAACAGACGAGGAGCUUGCUCCUCUGACGUUAGCGGCGGACGGGUGAGUAACACGUGGAUAACCUACCUAUAAGACUGGGAUAACUUCGGGAAACCGGAGCCAAUACCGGAUAAUAUAUUGAACCGCAUGGUUCAAUAGUGAAAGACGGCUUUGCUGUCACUUAUAGAUGGAUCCGCGCCGCAUUAGCUAGUUGGUAAGGUAACGGCUUACCAAGGCGACGAUGCGUAGCCGACCUGAGAGGGUGAUCGGCCACACUGGAACUGAGACACGGUCCAGACUCCUACGGGAGGCAGCAGUAGGGAAUCUUCCGCAAUGGGCGAAAGCCUGACGGAGCAACGCCGCGUGAGUGAUGAAGGUCUUCGGAUCGUAAAACUCUGUUAUUAGGGAAGAACAGAUGUGUAAGUAACUAUGCACGUCUUGACGGUACCUAAUCAGAAAGCCACGGCUAACUACGUG